CCUACGGGUGACAGCAGUGGGGAAUAUUGGGCAAUGGAGGCAACUCUGACCCAGCAACGCCGCGUGAAUGAUGAAGGUCUUCGGAUUGUAAAGUUCUGUGAUGGGGGAUGAACACAAUGACGGUACCCCCAUAGCAAGCCACGGGUAACUACGUGCUGGCAGCCGCGGUAAUCCGCAGGUGGCAGGCGUUAUCCGGAAGGACGGGGCGUAAAGGGUGCGUAGGUGGUUGAGUAAGUUGGCGGUGUAAUUCCUGGGCUAAACCGCGGAGCUACCGCCCAAACUGUUAGACUAGAGUGCGGGGGGGGUAAGUGGAAUGCGUGGUGUAGCGGUGGAAUGCGUAGAUAGUA
RNAcentral lists this ribosomal RNA (347 nucleotides) under uncultured bacterium. RNAcentral describes it as "partial 16S ribosomal RNA". It matches the Rfam family "Bacterial small subunit ribosomal RNA", at positions 338 to 699 of the family's 1533-position model. The record is from RNAcentral.